RNAcentral lists this long non-coding RNA (304 nucleotides) under Pandoravirus neocaledonia. RNAcentral describes it as "hypothetical ncRNA". The record is from RNAcentral.
GGCGGUUUUUGGUUGCCUGUCGCGUGGGCCAACACUGCCUUUUCAUUGUUGCGCCUCACACACCAGACCGAGUGUCAUGAACGGCAACAGAAGCAGCCUCUACUGUUGCCAAAAGUGGGCGCGACCGGACCGACUGCACCAACCACCAACCCACGUCGACACAAUCCUACGCCCCCGGCACGGUCGUCCAUAGCCUUCCGACAUUAUAUGUAGACAAUGGGCGUUGCCCAAAAGGUGCGUGCGCCGCCGUAACCAACGGCAAGAGAGCGCACCAGCGCAAACCAAUGAAAAAAUAAAAAAUUUG